RNAcentral lists this RNase P RNA (320 nucleotides) under uncultured Ruthenibacterium sp. RNAcentral describes it as "Bacterial RNase P class A". It matches the Rfam family "Bacterial RNase P class A". Rfam says of the family: Ribonuclease P (RNase P) is a ubiquitous endoribonuclease, found in archaea, bacteria and eukarya as well as chloroplasts and mitochondria. Its best characterised activity is the generation of mature 5'-ends of tRNAs by cleaving the 5'-leader elements of precursor-tRNAs. Lineage: Bacteria; Bacillati; Bacillota; Clostridia; Eubacteriales; Oscillospiraceae. The record is from RNAcentral.
GGCGGAGGGCUUUGCGCCCUCUGAGGAAAGUCCGGGCUUCACAAGGGAACGGUAACUGCUAACGGCAGCCGGGGGUGACCCCAGGGAUAGUGCAACAGAGAUGAGACUGCCCGUCUUUCGGGACGAGCGAUGGUGGAAAGGUGCGGUAAGAGCGCACCGGCGCGCUUGGUGACUUGCGCGGCCGUGUAAACCCUACCGGAAGCAACGCCCAUAUGAGAACACAUGCGUGCCCUUGCGCGUUCUCGGAGGCGGCUGGAGCUGUGCGGCAACGUACAGUCGAGAUAGAUCGUCGUUUAAUACAGAACCCGGCUUACGGUUUG